Molecule: ribosomal RNA, 1248 nt
Filed under: metagenome
Description: bacterial LSU rRNA
Rfam family: Bacterial large subunit ribosomal RNA
Source: RNAcentral
AGGUGGGGUGGUAGAGAAUACCGAGGGGCGCGAGGUAACUCUCUCUAAGGAACUCGGCAAAAUGGCCCCGUAACUUCGGGAGAAGGGGUGCCAGCGAGAGCUGGUCGCAGUGAAGAGGCCCAGGCGACUGUUUACCAAAAACACAGGUCUCCGCUAAGUCGCAAGACGAUGUAUGGGGGCUGACGCCUGCCCAGUGCCGAAGGUUAAGGAGGCUGGUCAGCGCAAGCGAAGCUGGCGACUGAAGCCCCGGUGAACGGCGGCCGUAACGAUAACGGUCCUAAGGUAGCGAAAUUCCUUGUCGGGUAAGUUCCGACCCGCACGAAAGGCGUAACGAUCUGGGCGCUGUCUCGGAGAGAGGCUCGGCGAAAUAGAAUUGUCUGUGAAGAUGCGGACUACGUGCACCCGGACAGAAAGACCCUAUGAAGCUUUACUGUAGCUUGGUAUUGUGCUCGGGCUCGGAAUGCGCAGGAUAGGUGGGAGGCAUUGAUCCAUUGCUUGCGGGUGAUGGUGAGCCACUGGUGAGAUACCACUCUUUUCGAGCUUAAGUUCUAACGGCCACCCGUUAUCCGGGGGCCGGACAGUAUCAGGUGGGCAGUUUGACUGGGGCGGUCGCCUCCUAAAAGGUAACGGAGGCGCGCAAAGGUCUGCUCAGGCUGGUUGGAAAUCAGCCGACGAGUGUAAAAGCAGAAGCAGGCUUGACUGUGAGACCUACAAGUCGAACAGGGAGGAAACUCGGCUUUAGUGAUCCGACGGUUCUGCGUGGAAGGGCCGUCGCUCAACGGAUAAAAGUUACUCUAGGAUAACAGGCUGAUCUCCCCCAAGAGUUCACAUCGACGGGGAGGUUUGGCACCUCGAUGUCGGCUCAUCGCAACCUGUGCUGAAGUCGGUCCCAAGGGUUGGGUUGUUCGCCCAUUAAAGCGGUACGCGAGCUGGGUUCAGAACGUCGUAAGACAGUUCGGUCCAUAUCCGGUGCACGCGCAGGAAUAUUGAGAGGAUUUCUCCCUAGUACGAGAGGACCGGGAGGAACGCACCUCUGGUGUGCCAGUUAUCGUGCCAACGGUAAACGCUGGGUAGCCAUGUGCGGAGAGGAUAACCGCUGAAAGCAUCUAAGUGGGAAGCCCACCUCAAGAUGAGUAUUCCCAUGGCGUUAAGCCAGUAAGGUCACGGGAAGAACACCCGUUGAUAGGCUCUAUGUGGAAGCGCAGUAAUGCGUGAAGCAGAGGAGUACUAAUAGACCGAGGGCUUGAC